AUGUAUAAAGGCGGUUGCAGUGUGGUACUUGAGGCGGUGGCCACACAGGACCUCUGGAUUUGGCACUCCUUCUUUGGUAUGCCCGGAACUCACAAUGACAUCAAUGUGCUGCAGUGCUCUCCUGUCUUUGCCAAGCUUGUUGAAGGUCAUUCUCCUUCGGUGAACUUCGAGGUCAAUGGGCGGCAGUACAACAAGGGGUACUACCUAGCUGAUGGCAUCUAUCUGAAAUUGUCUACAUUUGUGAAGACUAUCUCAAACGAUGUGCCAGGAGGCAAGAAGUCCCACUUUGCCAAGGUGCAGGAGGCUUGCAGGAAGGAUGUCGAGCGGGCAUUUGGUGUGCUCCAAUCUCGAUUUGCUGUUGUCCGGUACCCUACUCAGACCUGGUCGAAAGAUCAAAUGUGA
This 402-nucleotide ribosomal RNA is filed under the name Triticum aestivum (bread wheat). RNAcentral describes it as "partial small subunit ribosomal RNA". The record is from RNAcentral. Lineage: Eukaryota; Viridiplantae; Streptophyta; Magnoliopsida; Poales; Poaceae.